GUUAAUGUAGCUUAUAAAAAAAAGCAAAGCACUGAAAAUGCUAAGAUGAGUUUAUUACUCCAUAAACA
RNAcentral lists this transfer RNA (68 nucleotides) under Micropotamogale ruwenzorii (Ruwenzori otter shrew). RNAcentral's name for it is "tRNA-Phe". It matches the Rfam family "tRNA". Rfam says of the family: Transfer RNA (tRNA) molecules are approximately 80 nucleotides in length. The record is from RNAcentral. Lineage: Eukaryota; Metazoa; Chordata; Mammalia; Afrosoricida; Tenrecidae.